RNAcentral lists this small RNA (115 nucleotides) under Arabidopsis thaliana (thale cress). RNAcentral's name for it is "ATSL282230". The record is from RNAcentral. Lineage: Eukaryota; Viridiplantae; Streptophyta; Magnoliopsida; Brassicales; Brassicaceae.
AUUUUUGUUUUUGAUUAAAUUUUUUUAAUGGCAUUGUCAUGUAAUUAAUUACAAAAAUUAAGGUUACAUUUAAAAUGUACUUCCCAAAUAAUAUAGUAGGAUAUGAUAUUCUAUA